UGGGGAAUCUUGGGCAAUGGGCGAAAGCCUGACCCAGCAACGCCGCGUGAGGGACGAAGGCUUUCUGAGUUGUAAACCUCUUUCGGUAGGAACGAUUGUGACGGUACCUACAGAAGAAGCACCGGCCAACUAUGUG
RNAcentral lists this ribosomal RNA (136 nucleotides) under uncultured Helicobacter sp. Its description in RNAcentral is "partial 16S ribosomal RNA". It matches the Rfam family "Bacterial small subunit ribosomal RNA", at positions 355 to 507 of the family's 1533-position model. The record is from RNAcentral. Lineage: Bacteria; Pseudomonadati; Campylobacterota; Epsilonproteobacteria; Campylobacterales; Helicobacteraceae.